RNAcentral lists this ribosomal RNA (495 nucleotides) under uncultured bacterium. Its description in RNAcentral is "partial 16S ribosomal RNA". It matches the Rfam family "Bacterial small subunit ribosomal RNA", at positions 28 to 507 of the family's 1533-position model. The record is from RNAcentral.
GACGAACGCUGGCGGCGUGCCUAAUACAUGCAAGUAGAACGCUGAAGGAGGAGCUUGCUUCUCUGGAUGAGUUGCGAACGGGUGAGUAACGCGUAGGUAACCUGCCUGGUAGCGGGGGAUAACUAUUGGAAACGAUAGCUAAUACCGCAUAAUAGUAGAUGUUGCAUGACAUUUGCUUAAAAGGUGCAAUUGCAUCACUACCAGAUGGACCUGCGUUGUAUUAGCUAGUUGGUGGGGUAACGGCUCACCAAGGCGACGAUACAUAGCCGACCUGAGAGGGUGAUCGGCCACACUGGGACUGAGACACGGCCCAGACUCCUACGGGAGGCAGCAGUAGGGAAUCUUCGGCAAUGGACGGAAGUCUGACCGAGCAACGCCGCGUGAGUGAAGAAGGUUUUCGGAUCGUAAAGCUCUGUUGUAAGAGAAGAACGAGUGUGAGAGUGGAAAGAUCACACUGUGACGGUAUCUUACCAGAAAGGGACGGCUAACUACGUG